Long non-coding RNA from Callorhinchus milii (elephant shark), 2874 nucleotides. RefSeq lists it as uncharacterized. The record is from RefSeq and is a predicted model, not a curated record. The transcript has 2 exons. NCBI's taxonomy places the organism in Eukaryota, Metazoa, Chordata, Chondrichthyes, Chimaeriformes, Callorhinchidae.
GGCACAGACAAGUAUUCAAAAGGCCCGGCAUCAUUUAGAGAACUCCACACUUGUAGCUCUGGUGCUCAGUUGACUUGUAUUUAUUUUCAGGAAGAAGGAAAAAGGUGCCUCUGGUGACUUGCAGCAGGUGGGAGUGACACAGAGGAGUGAGUUUCCCUGGAGCUGCACACCUCCCAGGUGCGACCACCCAACAACUCACUGAGCUGGAACAGGCAAGAAGCCAGGGACAAAUCAGCAAGCCACAUCAUCGGGGUCGAUUGGGUCAUCCUUUGAGAAAUGCUGGGAAAAGGGUUGAAGCAAAGGGUUAGCUUUGCUCUUCCACAAUCUGCCUCCACGACACUUUUCCCAAUACGGAGGGGAGAAUGACUGCAAUCCACCUCCGCAAAAAGCAAAAUCGGAUCAGAGAGAAGAGAGAGUGGGUCUUGGUGAUGGGUUGAGAGUGGUGACAGAGCUCUGUACUGUACACACCAGUGAUCAACAAACCACAGAAGCACAAAUGAAUUGUUUAUACCGGGGUCUAUACUUCUUAAUCUUAACAUUUCUAACAUUUACAUAGUUGGAGAGUUUCUGGAUUUUUAUCACAAUUAGUCUCAAGUAUAAGCACUAACUAGGUGUGUAAGGCAUUGUUUCAGCUAUUGAGUCGGACUCCGCCACUUUUAAGCGCUCUGAGACGCUGCCCUGCGUGGAAAGUGCUAUAUAAGUGCAAGUUGUUGCUGUUGUUGUUGAGAGACUGAGGUUCUGCGCUCUGAGAGAUGAAUGGUGAAGAGGGAGGACGGCCAACACAUCAAUCAGCCAGAGGUGCAGUGCUGCAUCUCUGGUUAGUUGUGAGUCUGAGAUGAAGCACUGUAGCUCUGGAGGAUGAACACUGCAUCAAUGGCCUUGAACAAGGAGCCCGACACCUCUCAAGGUAACACUCUGCGCGGAUGAUCUUCUAUUGAUAAAGAACGUUAGACUCAGGCAAACGGUUCAGCAGAUGGCCACCAAACGGUUCAUUUCAAGCUUGUACCAAAGAACAUUCUUACCAAUUUUACACCAUAAAAGGCGCAAUCAGGGAUCCCUGAACUUAUACAGCAAUUAAAUCACUAAUAAAUCACAUUUUGAAAAGAUUUUAGUGUCGUACUUAUCGAUUGACAGCUGUGAGUCUGCGAUUGAUGUAAUCACAUGGUUUCUUGAGAGAGUUGGGGGAAAAGGAGGUGAAAAUGGCUUCUGAAGUGACAACUUCUAAUUCAGUUUCUGAACUCACAGAUGCACUGAAAAGUACAUUAAAAUCAGAAUUAAUAAACUCCUCGGUAAUCUCCUCGCGCGGAUUCUGAAAAAAGUUAAGUGUCAUUGUUCAUUAUCUUUUUCGUGACUUCUUUGAAAAUGAUUUUUUAAAAAUCUAGUGGCUCUGAAUAUGUGGUAAUGGUUCAGGAGAUCAUAUGUAACAUGUAAAAGUAAGAGGUUGAAGUAAAAAUCUGUCUAACUGUCUCUAUUUCCAAGAUAGCAUGUGUUUAGCAAAUUAAUCAGCUUCACAACUUAGAGCCCAGGUUACAAUACUCUUUGUGUAAUAUAUGUAGGGUAUUAGGCUCAAGUUCUUUUCUCUUCUAUUCUCAUGUAAAACUAACACUUUCCAGACCUCAAUGCCUGCUUAAUUACCUAUCUCCAGAGGACAGAGCUAAUGUAGACUUAUGUAGUAAUGUAUGAAGCUCAGUGUGGUUUGUAGCGGGUUUUUGUGGGUUAACUAACAGGUCGCAGAGUUUCUCCUGAUUACGUAAAUCCUUGCUCUGUAACUCUCCUAAAACUCCUGAUGUAUUUUACCGAGAGUCUAUCCUGGCCCUUGUUUGAUGUAAAUAUUAAGAUUUACCUCAGUUUUAAGUCAGUUUUGUUUACUUUAUCCCAAAAUAAAUCUACAAAGGCAGCGUUCUCAGACUUCCUGCCAGUCGCUCAUGGUGAAAGGAAUGCAGCUUUCUGUUUCUCUUGAGAAUCUCUUGUUUUGCAGCAGGCUUCAAUCUCCGAUCUUCCUGUGCCCUUCUCCUCAGGGUCCAGUUUUCCCAGGAAUCCCUUCUGUGAUGAUAAGGGGAUUCCUGGAAAUACUGUUCUUGGGGGCAAGGCUUGGCGGCUGAAGAUCAUCGAGGAGCCUGCAGUGGGGAGAGGAAGAUGGGACAAGGAAGAAUAAGUGAGGUCGGUGGACUAGCUGCUGUGGGAAGAGGAAUAAUAAUAAUAAUGAUCCUUGCAUUUGCUAUAACGCCUUAUCAAAAUCGUCGAGAAGUAUCAAAGCGCUUCACAGGAUAUAUUAUAAAGUGGAUUGACUGUAUAUUUUUGGGGCAAAAUGGGACAGUCAAUUGUGCACAGCAAUGUCCUACAAACAGCCAUGAAUUGAGUGACCAAAUUAUUAUUUAUUUAAAAAAUAUGUUUGAAGGGAUUAUUACCCCGGAAAAACGAUCCGCCAAUCGACCAACAACCGGGUUCCUCCUUAUUGCUCAGUAAACAGAGGCGUGUGGAGUAAGGAAACUUGCCUCAUGCUUUGCCCUGCCCGGGAAUUGAACCCGGGUCCUCUCGCUUGCGAGGAAUAAUAAGCGGCUAGAAGACGUCUAGAAGAUGUGAAAAGUGCUAUAUCAAAUGCAAGGAUGACUACAUAUAUUAAUAAUCCUUGCAUUUAUUAUAACGCCUUAUCAUGUCGUCGAGAUGUCUGAAAGUGCUUCGCAGGCUAUGCUGUUAUGUGGAGUGACUGUAUAUUUUGUGAGUGAAAUGUGGCAACCAGUUUGCACACAGGAAGAAUGCUGAGUGUACGUGGGAGUAUACAUUCACACUGUAACAAAUUGAUAUUGUUGCCUAAUUUACAAUAAACCAAUGUAACAGUUAACAUGAAAUGCCAAUAAAUUAUGAAUUAUUGAA